ACCAGACUCCUACGGGAGGCAGCAGUGGGGAAUAUUGGACAAUGGGGGGAACCCUGAUCCAGCGACGCCGCGUGAGUGAAGAAGUAUUUCGGUAUGUAAAGCUCUAUCAGCAGGGAAGAAGAUGACGGUACCUGACUAAGAAGCCCCGGCUAACUACGUGCCAGCAGCCGCGGUAAUACGUAGGGGGCAAGCGUUAUCCGGAUUUACUGGGUGUAAAGGGAGCGUAGACGGCAUGGCAAGUCAGAUGUGAAAGCCCGGGGCUCAACCCCGGGACUGCAUUUGAAACUGUCAGGCUGGAGUGCAGGAGAGGUAAGUGGAAUUCCUAGUGUAGCGGUGAAAUGCGUAGAUAUUAGGAGGAACACCAGUGGCGAAGGCGGCUUACUGGACUGUAACUGACGUUGAGGCUCGAAAGCGUGGGGAGCAAACAGGAUUAGAUACCCGAGUA
This 445-nucleotide ribosomal RNA is filed under the name uncultured bacterium. Its description in RNAcentral is "bacterial SSU rRNA". It matches the Rfam family "Bacterial small subunit ribosomal RNA", at positions 330 to 792 of the family's 1533-position model. The record is from RNAcentral.